RNAcentral lists this ribosomal RNA (446 nucleotides) under uncultured bacterium. RNAcentral describes it as "partial 16S ribosomal RNA". It matches the Rfam family "Bacterial small subunit ribosomal RNA", at positions 338 to 795 of the family's 1533-position model. The record is from RNAcentral.
CCUACGGGUGACUGCAGUCGAGAAUCAUUCACAAUGGGGGAAACCCUGAUGGUGCGACGCCGCGUGGGGGAAUGAAGGUCUUCGGAUUGUAAACCCCUGUCAUGUGGGCGCAAAUUAAAAAGAUAGUACCACAAGAGGAAGAGACGGCUAACUCUGUGCCAGCAGCCGCGGUAAUACAGAGGUCUCAAGCGUUGUUCGGAAUCACUGGGCGUAAAGCGUGCGUAGGCCGUUUCGUAAGUCGUGUGUGAAAGGCGCGGGCUCAACCCGCGGACGGCACAUGAUACUGCGAGACUAGAGUAAGGGAGGGGGAACCGGAAUUCGCGGUGUAGCAGUGAAAUGCGUAGAUAUCGAGAGGAACACUCGUGGCGAAGGCGGGUUCCUGGACAUUAACUGACGCUGAGGCACGAAGGCCAGGGGAGCGAAAGGGAUUAGAUACCCCUGUAGUC